This 565-nucleotide ribosomal RNA is filed under the name uncultured Glomeromycotina. Its description in RNAcentral is "SSU rRNA". It matches the Rfam family "Eukaryotic small subunit ribosomal RNA", at positions 548 to 1114 of the family's 1831-position model. Lineage: Eukaryota; Fungi; Glomeromycota. The record is from RNAcentral.
UUGGAGGGCAAGUCUGGUGCCAGCAGCCGCGGUAAUUCCAGCUCCAAUAGCGUAUAUUAAAGUUGUUGCAGUUAAAAAGCUCGUAGUUGAAUUUCGGGGUUAGUAGGUUGGUCAUGCCUCUGGUAUGUACUGGUCUCACUGAUUCCUCCUUCCUGAUGAACCUUAAUGCCAUUAAUUUGGUGUUUUGGGGAAUUUGGACUGUUACUUUGAAAAAAUUAGAGUGUUUAAAGCAAGCUAACGCUUGAAUACAUUAGCAUGGAAUAAUGAAAUAGGACGUUCGAUCCUAUUUUGUUGGUUUCUAGGAUUGACGUAAUGAUUAAUAGGGAUAGUUGGGGGCAUUAGUAUUCAAUUGUCAGAGGUGAAAUUCUUGGAUUUAUUGAAGACUAACUACUGCGAAAGCAUUUGCCAAGGAUGUUUUCAUUAAUCAAGAACGAAAGUUAGGGGAUCGAAGACGAUCAGAUACCGUCGUAGUCUUAACCAUAAACUAUGCCGACUAGGGAUCGGAUGAUGUUAAUUUUUUAAUGACUCAUUCGGCGCCUUACGGGAAACCAAAGUGUUUGGGUUC